CAAUAGCGUAUAUUAAAGUUGUUGCAGUUAAAAAGCUCGUAGUUGGAUUUCUGGUGGGAGCGAUCGGUCUGGCGCUUAGCGCGAGUACUUGCAUCGUCUCCGGCCAUCCUUGGGGAGAGUCUGUCUGGCAUUAGGUUGUCGGGCAGAGGAUCCUCAUCGUUUACUGUGAAAAAAUUAGAGUGUUCAAAGCAGGCUUAUGCCGUUGAAUAUAUUAGCAUGGAAUAAGAAGAUAGGACUUUGGUACUAUUUUGUUGGUUUGCGCACCAAAGUAAUGAUUAAUAGGGACAGUUGGGGGUAUUCGUAUUCCGUUGUCAGAGGUGAAAUUCUUGGAUUUACGGAAGACGAACUACUGCGAAAGCAUUUACCAAGGAUGUUUUCAUUAA
RNAcentral lists this ribosomal RNA (383 nucleotides) under uncultured eukaryote. Its description in RNAcentral is "partial 18S ribosomal RNA". It matches the Rfam family "Eukaryotic small subunit ribosomal RNA", at positions 592 to 976 of the family's 1831-position model. The record is from RNAcentral.